Long non-coding RNA from Helianthus annuus (common sunflower), 2012 nucleotides. RefSeq lists it as uncharacterized. The transcript is spliced from 2 exons. The record is from RefSeq and is a predicted model, not a curated record. NCBI's taxonomy places the organism in Eukaryota, Viridiplantae, Streptophyta, Magnoliopsida, Asterales, Asteraceae.
GUCAUAAUAUAAAAUUUUUAUAUUAUGUUGACGCAAUUAGAAAAGAAAAUGGUAAAUAUAAUUUUACCAUAUGAAAGUAAAUAAGAUACUAGUAAGUAUAUGUGGGUAAGUAAGAUAUUGUAAAUAACCAAGUUAACUAAGUUAGAGGAUGGAUGAAAAUAGUCAUGUUAUGAGAAAUAAAGGGGUUAGUUAUGUUAAAAAUGAAAGAAAGUUUGAUUAAACAAGGAAAAAAAUGCAGAAUUUUCAUAAGUAAGUAGGUAUGUGUCGUGGGGUUGAAAGGGGAUUUAGGGUUCUCACCUAAAUCCAUCAUCAACACAAGAAUUCUGCAUAAAUUGGGGUGAUUUGAGCUGGAAAUCGAGUGCAUGAGACAUCAUCUACACUUGUCUAAGUGUCCUUGAGGUAAGGAACGUGUCAAGGAGAGCUCAAGCAUAGGAGGAUAACGGGUCAAGAUAAGGCAAGGUGACAAAUACACUUAUUGGAGUGCUCAAGGUAAGUGAUUUCCAGAAUCACUUCUUAUCUUAUAAAUAAAGUUUUGAUAUGUUAAACGUAGGAAAUCAUGUGAGAAAUUAUGAGAAGGAGCAAGUACUAAGGUAUAUAUUAAUGAGGUAAGUCGUAAAAAGUUAUUUGUGCUUGGAAUUACAAGAUAGAAGGGAACGGGUCAAUAAUAAAGAAAGAAACAUGGCGUAAUGUGGUAAUUAGUUUGAUCAUGUGGUUAUACGUUAGAAAGAUUUAGGAGUUUGUAUAUGAUUAUUUUACAUAUUGGAAGCGUGAAAAACGGAGAAGAAAGAAGUUCGGGUGUCUAACGGUUGUAUACGAAUGUAAAAAUAGAGAAAAAAAAGGUUGGCUGAACUAGGCUCUACCGUAGCUUACGGUAGCCACCGUAAGCAACGGUAGGUACUGAUGGUCAUUUCUCCACCGUAAGGCAGUAUAAAGGCACCGUAGGCUUUUGUGUGCCACCGUAAGCUACGGUAGUCACCGUAGCUUACGUGGAGGUCAGGUUCAGAUGUAAAGUUUAUGUAUAUUCAUUUUCUUUGAAUUUGGACCCCAAGAACCCAUUUCAAGUCCCGUUAAACUUCUAUAAUGUACCUUAACCCUAUUAAAUGGCUUGGUGAGUUAAGGAUGAAUAUAUAACUCAUUUUAAGAUUUCCGCAAUGUACCCGAAAGUUAUUUAAAAAGCGUUUAUGAAGUGCGAGUAAUAAUGGAAUGCGUAAGCGAGUAUGUGGAGGAAUGAAUUAAGUAUGUGGGUAUAUAUGUAUAGGAUUAAUUUCAUACCAAUAGCCGGGACUUAUAAUAAUCAUGAAUAGAAGUGAGUAUGCACGUAGGUUUGUAUGUACGUGACCUAUUUAUAUGGAAGUUGUAAUUAGGAUACAUUAGCAAAUCAUUUGGAAUGAUGUAAGUGGAAUGUAAGAGCUUGUACGUUUGUAUGUGUGUUCGUAAUCAUGUGUGGAAGUAUGUGUCCAUGAAUAUCUGUAUGUAUGUACCUAUGCACGAAGUAGAAUUUAUUGUACACGAAUGAAUGGGACUUUUUUUAUAUGUUUACAUAGCUUCAAUACUUUUGAGUUUAAAGUUUCUAAACUGGUGUCUUGAGUAUGAAAUGAGAAUGCAGGUAUACUAUUAAUGUCCUUAUGAAGGUUUAAGGAAUUGGAAUGCAAGAUCGUACACUGAAUGAGGAUUUGAAAAGAUUAGCAUGAGAUGAAGGAAUACGGAGUGGUUAUUUAUUUACGUAUGUUUAGUUUAUGAACGACGUCACCAAAUUUUAACGAUGCGUGUGUAUGUGGUGAUUGCAGGUCGCACGGACUUAACAUCAUUAUGAAGUAAAUAAGGAUUGAAGAUCGAGUCAAAGAGCGAGGUUGGUACGGGAAGGGUAGUCACAUAACUGGUGAUUUUAUAUUACAUUUGAUGCGAUAAUUAAGAAUGAACGUUGUAAAUCUUUUGAAGAAAGUGUUUGUUAUUUUUAAACGAACCUUCAAGUAAGUCAUAUGAGUAAUUAUGAAAGAAAUUUUAAGUCUCUA